UACGGAGGGUGCGAGCGUUGUUCGGAUUUACUGGGCGUAAAGGGCGCGUAGGCGGUCAGCACAAGUCAAUUGUGAAAUCUCCGAGCUUAACUCGGAAAGGUCAACUGAAACUGUGCGACUAGAGUGCGGAAGGGGCAACUGGAAUUCUUGGUGUAGCGGUGAAAUGCGUAGAUAUCAAGAGGAACACCUGCGGCGAAGGCGGGUUGCUGGGCCGACACUGACGCUGAAGCGCGAAAGCCAGGGGAGCGAACGGG
RNAcentral lists this ribosomal RNA (254 nucleotides) under uncultured bacterium. RNAcentral's name for it is "partial 16S ribosomal RNA". It matches the Rfam family "Bacterial small subunit ribosomal RNA", at positions 524 to 776 of the family's 1533-position model. The record is from RNAcentral.